CCCAGUUAAGCGCGAGCUUAACUACCUAAUAUGGAGCGAACGAGGGGAAUUGAAACAUCUUAGUACCCUCAGGAAAAGAAAUCAAAAGAGAUUACGCUAGUAGCGGCGAGCGAACGCGUAAGAGGGCAAACCACUAGUUUACUAGUGGGGUUGUAGGACCGUAACAUAGACUAGGAUCUGAUAAUAGAACAAUCUGGAAAGGUUAGGCAUAGAGGGUGAUACUCCCGUAUAUGAAAUCACAUCCUUACUUAGCGGUAUCCUGAGUAGGACGGGACACGUGAAAUCCUGUCUGAAGCCGGGUCGACCACGAUCCAACCCUAAAUACUACUACUAGACCGAUAGCGUACAAGUACCGUGAGGGAAAGGUGAAAAGAACGGCGGUGAGCCGAGUGAAAUAGAACCUGAAACCGUUUGCUUACAAUCAUUCAGAGCACUAUGCUAUACUCUUUAAAAUUAAUCCAGCUUGGCUUUUUAGCCCUUUUUUAUGAAACUGCGACUGCGGCAGCCGAAUCCGGCUAGCCUUGUCUUGUUUCAUAAAAAAUCAUCUAAAAAUCCUGCGCAUUUGAAAUUCUAAAUUUUGAUCUAAUAAAAUUUCAUCAUAAACGAUACAAGUAGAAUUUUAUAGUCUAAAUUUAGAGAUAACGAUUAACGAUUAGUUUUAAUGAGUAUAGCAGUGUGAUGGACUGCCUUUUGCAUAAUGAGCCUGCGAGUUGUGGUGUCUGGCGAGGUUAAGGAAACCCGGAGCCGUAGCGAAAGCGAGUCUUAAUAGGGCGAUUAGUCAGAUGCUGCAGACCCGAAACGAUGUGAUCUAUCCAUGAGCAGGUUGAAGCCGGUGUAAGAGCCGGUGGAGGACCCAACCGACGGCCGUUGAAAAGGCUCCGGAUGACUUGUGGAUAGGGGUGAAAGGCCAAUCAAACAUCGUGAUAGCUGGUUCUCUCCGAAAUAUAUUGAGGUAUAGCGUCGUGUAGUAGUUAUAAGGGGUAGAGCACUGAAUGGGCUAGGGCAUACACCAAUGUACCAAACCCUAUCAAACUCCGAAUACUUAUAGCGUAACCACGGCAGUCAGGCGGCGAGUGAUAAAAUCCGUCGUCAAGAGGGAAACAACCCGGACUAACAGCUAAGGUCCCCAAAUCUCAUUUAAGUGGAAAACGAUGUGAAGUUACUGAAACAACCAGGAGGUUGGCUUAGAAGCAGCCAUCCUUUAAAGAAAGCGUAAUAGCUCACUGGUCUAGUGAUUUUGCGCGGAAAAUAUAACGGGGCUAAAAUGAGUACCGAAGCUUUAGACUUGCACUUAAUCAUUUAUACUUGGCUUGGCUUUUGAGUGUCUUUAAAUGAGCUCGUAAAAAUAAAUGCUCACGAACUAUAUGUUCGCUCCGCUUUAUUUUUACAUCGCAACAUUUAAAUCCAUCUCAAAACAAGCGAAGCGCUUUUUGCGGAAGCAAAAAUGUUUCUUUGAAAAAUCCUGCGCCAUCUUGAGUUCAAAUUUGAACUAAAUAUCUUGAUCUAAAUUUUAUAAAUCUCAAAAUUUCUUAGAAUUUUAAAAUUUAGCAACAAAAAGCAAAAAGACAAGCCUAAGAAAAGUAUAAAUCAUUAAGUGCAAGUGGUAGGAGAGCGUUCCAAUCAGCGUCGAAGCCGUACCGGUAAGGAGCGGUGGAGCGGUUGGAAGUGAGCAUGCAGGCAUGAGUAGCGAUAAAAUACGUGAGAAUCGUAUUCGCCGUAAACCCAAGGUUUCCUACGCGAUGCUCGUCAUCGUAGGGUUAGUCGGGUCCUAAGCAAAGUCCGAAAGGGGUAUGCGAUGGAAAAUCGGUUAAUAUUCCGAUACCGAUAUCAGUGUGCGACGGAAGGACGCUUAAAGUUAGUGGAGCUAGCGGAUGGAAGUGCUAGUCUAAGGAAGUAGGUUGAGUUAUAGGCAAAUCCGUAACUCUUUAUCCGAGAUCUGAAAGGCUUCUGACGCUCUUCGGAGUAGAUGAAGAAUCCAUGAUACUAUCGAGCCGAGAAAAGUUUCUAAGUUUAGCUGAUAUCGCCCGUACCGUAAACCGACACAGGUGGGUGGGAUGAGUAUUCUAAGGCGCGUGGAAGAACUCUCUUUAAGGAACUCUGCAAAAUAGCACCGUAUCUUCGGUAUAAGGUGUGCCUAGCUUCGUUAAGAAUUUACUUCGUAAGCGAAGAAGGUUACAACAAAGAGUCCCUCCCGACUGUUUACCAUAAACACAGCACUCUGCUAACUCGUAAGAGGAUGUAUAGGGUGUGACGCCUGCCCGGUGCUCGAAGGUUAAUUGAUGAUGUUAGCUUAUGCAAAGCAUCUGAUCGAAGCCCGAGUAAACGGCGGCCGUAACUAUAACGGUCCUAAGGUAGCGAAAUUCCUUGUCGGUUAAAUACCGACCUGCAUGAAUGGCGUAACGAGAUGGGAGCUGUCUCAAAGAGGGAUCCAGUGAAAUUGUAGUGGAGGUGAAAAUUCCUCCUACCCGCGGCAAGACGGAAAGACCCCGUGGACCUUUACUACAGCUUGACACUGCUAUUGGGAUAAAAAUGUGCA
This 2536-nucleotide ribosomal RNA is filed under the name human oral metagenome. RNAcentral describes it as "bacterial LSU rRNA". It matches the Rfam family "Bacterial large subunit ribosomal RNA", at positions 127 to 2140 of the family's 2925-position model. The record is from RNAcentral.